UGCUAGGGACUUUGCAGGAUCCUGACAAGAUCCCGCUAGGAACAUUGUAGGAUCCUGAUAGGAUUCUGCUAGGAACUUGCAGGAUCCUGACAAGAUCCUGCUAGGAACUUUGUAGGAUCCUGAAUAGGAUCCUGUAGGAUCCUGAAUAGGAUCCUGUAGGAUCCUGAAUGUGAUCCUGUAGGAUCCUGUAGGAUCCUGUAGGAUCCUGAAUAGGAUCCUGUAGGAUCCUGAA
Non-coding RNA from Paramuricea clavata, 232 nucleotides. Lineage: Eukaryota; Metazoa; Cnidaria; Anthozoa; Malacalcyonacea; Plexauridae. The record is from the annotation of a GenBank genome assembly.